This 468-nucleotide ribosomal RNA is filed under the name uncultured bacterium. RNAcentral describes it as "partial 16S ribosomal RNA". It matches the Rfam family "Bacterial small subunit ribosomal RNA", at positions 28 to 507 of the family's 1533-position model. The record is from RNAcentral.
GACGAACGCUGGCGGCGUGCUUAACACAUGCAAGUCGAACGGAAAGACCCUGCUUUUGUGGGGUGCUCGAGUGGCGAACGGGUGAGUAACACGUGAGUAACCUGCCCUUUACUUUGGGAUAACUUCAGGAAACUGGGGCUAAUACCGGAUAGGAGCUCCUGCUGCAUGGUGGGGGUUGGAAAGUUUCGGCGGUUGGGGAUGGACUCGCGGCUUAUCAGCUUGUUGGUGGGGUAGUGGCUUACCAAGGCUUUGACGGGUAGCCGGCCUGAGAGGGUGACCGGCCACAUUGGGACUGAGAUACGGCCCAGACUCCUACGGGAGGCAGCAGUGGGGAAUAUUGCACAAUGGGCGGAAGCCUGAUGCAGCAACGCCGCGUGCGGGAUGACGGCCUUCGGGUUGUAAACCGCUUUCGGCUGGGACGAAGCGAGAGUGACGGUAAUGGGUGAAGAAGCGCCGGCUAACUACGUG